This 74-nucleotide transfer RNA is filed under the name Scleropages formosus (Asian bonytongue). RNAcentral's name for it is "tRNA-Ile". It matches the Rfam family "tRNA". From Rfam's summary of the family: Transfer RNA (tRNA) molecules are approximately 80 nucleotides in length. Lineage: Eukaryota; Metazoa; Chordata; Actinopteri; Osteoglossiformes; Osteoglossidae. The record is from RNAcentral.
CCUUCAGGGGCGCAAUUGGUUAGCGUGUGGUACUUAUAAUGUCAAGGUUGUGCGUUCAAACCUCACCUGGAGCA